GACGAACGCUGGCGGCGUGCUUAACACAUGCAAGUCGAACGGAAAGGCCCUGCUUUUGUGGGGUGCUCGAGUGGCGAACGGGUGAGUAACACGUGAGUAACCUGCCCUUGACUUUGGGAUAACUUCAGGAAACUGGGGCUAAUACCGGAUAGGAGCUCCUGCUGCAUGGUGGGGGUUGGAAAGUUUCGGCGGUUGGGGAUGGACUCGCGGCUUAUCAGCUUGUUGGUGGGGUAGUGGCUUACCAAGGCUUUGACGGGUAGCCGGCCUGAGAGGGUGACCGGCCACAUUGGGACUGAGAUACGGCCCAGACUCCUACGGGAGGCAGCAGUGGGGAAUAUUGCACAAUGGGCGGAAGCCUGAUGCAGCAACGCCGCGUGCGGGAUGACGGCCUUCGGGUUGUAAACCGCUUUCGCCUGUGACGAAGCGUGAGUGACGGUAAUGGGUAAAGAAGCACCGGCUAACUACGUGCCAGCAGCCGCGGUGAUACGUAGGGUGCGAGCGUUGUCCGGAUUUAUUGGGCGUAAAGGGCUCGUAGGUGGUUGAUCGCGUCGGAAGUGUAAUCUUGGGGCUUAACCCUGAGCGUGCUUUCGAUACGGGUUGACUUGAGGAAGGUAGGGGAGAAUGGAAUUCCUGGUGGAGCGGUGGAAUGCGCAGAUAUCAGGAGGAACACCAGUGGCGAAGGCGGUUCUCUGGGCCUUUCCUGACGCUGAGGAGCGAAAGCGUGGGGAGCGAACAGGCUUAGAUACCCUGGUAGUCCACGCUGUAAACGGUGGGUACUAGGUGUGGGGUCCAUUCCACGGGUUCCGUGCCGUAGCUAACGCUAUAAGUACCCCGCCUGGGGAGUACGGCCGCAAGGCUAAAACUCAAAGGAAUUGACGGGGCCCCGCACAAGCGGCGGAGCAUGCGGAUUAAUUCGAUGCAACGCGUAGAACCUUACCUGGGUUUGACAUGGAUCGGGAGCGCUCAGAGAUGGGUGUGCCUCUUUUGGGGUCGGUUCACAGGUGGUGCAUGGCUGUCGUCAGCUCGUGUCGUGAGAUGUUGGGUUAAGUCCCGCAACGAGCGCAACCCUUGUUCACUGUUGCCAGCACGUUAUGGUGGGGACUCAGUGGAGACCGCCGGGGUCAACUCGGAGGAAGGUGGGGAUGACGUCAAGUCAUCACGCCCCUUAUGUCCAGGGCUUCACGCAUGCUACAAUGGCUGGUACAGAGAGUGGCGAGCCUGUGAGGGUGAGCGAAUCUCGGAAAGCCGGUCUCAGUUCGGAUUGGGGUCUGCAACUCGACCUCAUGAAGUCGGAGUCGCUAGUAAUCGCAGAUCAGCAACGCUGCGGUGAAUACGUUCCCGGGGCU
RNAcentral lists this ribosomal RNA (1346 nucleotides) under uncultured bacterium. RNAcentral's name for it is "bacterial SSU rRNA". It matches the Rfam family "Bacterial small subunit ribosomal RNA", at positions 28 to 1381 of the family's 1533-position model. The record is from RNAcentral.